This 376-nucleotide ribosomal RNA is filed under the name uncultured eukaryote. Its description in RNAcentral is "partial 18S ribosomal RNA". It matches the Rfam family "Eukaryotic small subunit ribosomal RNA", at positions 592 to 976 of the family's 1831-position model. The record is from RNAcentral.
CAAUAGCGUAUAUUAAAGUUGUUGCAGUUAAAAAGCUCGUAGUUGGAUUUCGGGGUGGCCUGCCUGGUCCACCGCAAGGUGAGUACUGGUCAGCCGCCCUUCCUCUCGAAAGCCCCGACUGCUCUUCAUUGCAGUGGUCGGGUAGUUCGGGACGUUUACUUUGAAAAAAUUAGAGUGUUCAAGGCAGGCCGUCGCCUGAAUACAUUAGCAUGGAAUAAUGGAAGAGGACCUCGGUCCUAUUUUGUUGGUUUCUAGGGCCGAAGUAAUGAUUAAGAGGGACAGUUGGGGCAUUCGUAUUUAAUUGUCAGAGGUGAAAUUCUUGGAUUUAUGAAAGACGAACUAGUGCGAAAGCAUUUGCCAAGGAUGUUUUCAUUGA